UGCGUUGUCCUGGCAAGCUUCCACAUCAAGCAAGUUCAUCUCAAAGCUCUUAUACAAACAAUAGAAUUCAAAAGUUGGAGAAUUUGCUUGGAAACCUUGUAGCUGUGCUUAAAGUAUGAUUUGCAGAAGAUCCACAAAUUAAUCAAGUCUUAGAAGCUAUAGAUCAAGAGGUACCUACAAAUGAUUCUACCGGUAAAGAUCAUCAAACUACAAACAAUCUUAGCUAGAGGCUUCAUGGAGUUGCUAUAAUUUGUUGCUUCUGAGAGAAAAAGGUAGGAGCAUGCCAAGCUUAUGAUGGAAGAAACAACUAGUUAAAACAAGAUUCCAAAUUAAUUGCUGCACAUGCAACAUUUUAAUACUACUGGGCUCUUUUUUUGUUCCAUGAUAUUACAUAUAGAAGAACCAUGUUCUAAAAACAUUCCCUUUUUUGUUCUUAAAUCUUGCCACUGUAACCUUUUUCUAGGCAAAAGUGAUGUUAAUAUGUUA
Molecule: long non-coding RNA, 486 nt
Organism: Glycine soja
Lineage: Eukaryota; Viridiplantae; Streptophyta; Magnoliopsida; Fabales; Fabaceae
Exons: 3
Source: RefSeq, a predicted model, not a curated record